Molecule: ribosomal RNA, 480 nt
Filed under: uncultured bacterium
Lineage: Bacteria
Description: partial 16S ribosomal RNA
Rfam family: Bacterial small subunit ribosomal RNA
Source: RNAcentral
UGGGGAAUUUUGGACAAUGGGCGCAAGCCUGAUCCAGCAAUGCCGCGUGCAGGAUGAAGGCCUUCGGGUUGUAAACUGCUUUUGUACGGAACGAAAAGCCUCUCUCUAAUACAGGGGGUGAUGACGGUACCGUAAGAAUAAGCACCGGCUAACUACGUGCCAGCAGCCGCGGUAAUACGUAGGGUGCAAGCGUUAAUCGGAAUUACUGGGCGUAAAGCGUGCGCAGGCGGUUUUGUAAGACAGUGGUGAAAUCCCCGGGCUCAACCUGGGAACUGCCAUUGUGACUGCAAGGCUGGAGUGCGGCAGAGGGGGAUGGAAUUCCGCGUGUAGCAGUGAAAUGCGUAGAUAUGCGGAGGAACACCGAUGGCGAAGCAAUCCCCUGGGCCUGCACUGACGCUCAUGCACGAAAGCGUGGGGAGCAAACAGGAUUAGAUACCCCUGGUAGUCCACGCCCUAAACGAUGUCAACUGGUUGUUGGGG